Molecule: long non-coding RNA, 323 nt
Filed under: Salvia miltiorrhiza (redroot sage)
Lineage: Eukaryota; Viridiplantae; Streptophyta; Magnoliopsida; Lamiales; Lamiaceae
Description: long non-coding RNA (SMIL_LNC001938)
Source: RNAcentral
AAAUAUAAUUUACAUCAAUCAAAUUGUUCAAUAGAAUGGAAUUAUAAAUCACAAAAAUUUAAUAUAAAAUCAUAAAAUUUAUUGAUUUUGAGAUAUUUCAUUUUAUAUAACAUUCAUAUCAAAAUUACAAAAUUAUACAAAUUGACUUCAUCAAAUUUUCCAUUUUCCAUUAGUUAGACACGGAAAAAUGCAUGUCAUAUUUAAAAAAAAAAAAAAUCAUUUCCAAAAUUGCUAUUAUUCCAUACAUUUCCAUGCACCUACUGUUUCUUAAGUUGAUUUCACAGCAAAUAAUUUUAUAUAAAUAUUAAGGAAGUAUAAAAACA